AUACUAGAGUGACGGUGAAGAUGGUGGUGACAAUGAUGGUGCUGGUCAUGAUAAUUUUACCAGCUGCAACACCACCACGCAGCUAUCACCACCACCAUUCUCAUCAUUAUCAUCACCAUGAUCAUCAUCAUCA
This 133-nucleotide microRNA precursor is filed under the name Paramuricea clavata. Lineage: Eukaryota; Metazoa; Cnidaria; Anthozoa; Malacalcyonacea; Plexauridae. The record is from RNAcentral.